RNAcentral lists this long non-coding RNA (1186 nucleotides) under Neodiprion lecontei (redheaded pine sawfly). Its description in RNAcentral is "uncharacterized LOC124294477, transcript variant X1". Lineage: Eukaryota; Metazoa; Arthropoda; Insecta; Hymenoptera; Diprionidae. The record is from RNAcentral.
AAUGAAAAACGAUGUUUGAUGCAGAGAAGGAUACAGCAAAAGCUUAAUAUCACAUUCAAAUCAGUGAAUCGGCUGAUGUGAUUUUGGACGGUUACGACAAUUGAUUGCUCCAUACUCAGAAGAGUUAUAAUUUGCGUUAUUGCACAGUUGACAAUGUUGACGGUUGUGAUCACCACAAAGAGGUUGUUGAAAAAUCUGCUGUGAUCUUCCUGGAUCCCAAGAAUCUUGAGCUUGUUGCUAACGAUGCACAACUUGUUCAUUACUUCAAUGGUAUCUUUGUGCAUACUUAGAAACGUGAUCAGAGCGGAAAACGUACACAGACGUUUCCCAAAAUAGUACACCAGCUGGACGUUUCUAUCUAUCGUUGUCGAAUCCCCUUCAACAGACUUCAUAAUUCUGUAAGUCGUUAUGAAUGACACGAGUAAAUUACAGGUAGCAAAGACGAACGGAUACAGUCUCCCCGGAAGUGUGGACGGUGAAAUGAACUCACACCGUACGGCGCAAGUGGUCUUUACUCGAACCUUUGCAGUGCCAAUACCGGAUACUAUACUACUGAACAGCUCAGAGUCGAGUGGCGUAACAUCGACGUACGCAGAAAUGCAGAAAUUCUGAAGAGAGGGUGACAAUCAGAAUCCAUCCGAACAGUCGUAAACCUUUUCACACAUUGGCUAGUAUCGAUUGGUAAUAACAUCACAAAUCAUGCAAAGUCAAGGAUAACGUAGGCUUGAUAACUUCGUCACUGGGCCCUACGAAGAUAAUACCUGAAAAUAAGACUGGAAAUGAUCAACACAAAAUUGUACACGUAAUCAGUGAUGUGAUAGAUCGAAGGACUCGAUGAAGUGUGCUUUAUUAAAACCAUUUCAGCACUCCUAACAAAAUAAUAUCAACAGACUUAUGGAUCGGGGAGUGCAGAAUAAAGGAAUUAAUAAAGCGAGAAAUGAUGAUGAAUGAAUUACAAUAUAGAAUUUUUCGAGGAACUAUAUUCGCAAGUAAUUAGAGUGCGUAUGUGUCAUUUAAUAAUUAUCAUCUAUCACGUAUUUAAUAUGAACAUCUAUUUACCUUGCAGAUAACAUUAUUUUCUAUACAUUGGUUUGUCAUUUUUAUUCAAUUCUUAAUAUUUCAUGGACACAGUUAGUUGAUUAAAAUCACUAAUUUUCUUUCGUUCACUCGUUUUUUCUCUUUCUCA